RNAcentral lists this ribosomal RNA (253 nucleotides) under uncultured bacterium. RNAcentral describes it as "partial 16S ribosomal RNA". It matches the Rfam family "Bacterial small subunit ribosomal RNA", at positions 524 to 776 of the family's 1533-position model. The record is from RNAcentral.
UACGAAGGUCCCAAGCGUUAUCCGGAUUUAUUGGGUUUAAAGGGUGCGUAGGCGGGCUAUUAAGUCAGUGGUGAAAUCUCCGAGCCUAACUCGGAAACUGCCAUUGAUACUGAUGGUCUUGAGUACAUUUGAGGUGGGCGGAAUGUGUCAUGUAGCGGUGAAAUGCUUAGAUAUGACACAGAACACCGAUUGCGAAGGCAGCUCACUAAACUGUAACUGACGCUGAGGCACGAAAGUGUGGGGAUCAAACAGG